GAGGGUAUAGCUCAGUGGUAGGGUGCAUACCUAAUAUAGGGUGCAUGCCUAAUAUGCACAAGGUCCUAGGUUCAAUCCCCAGUACCUUCG
Molecule: transfer RNA, 90 nt
Filed under: Camelus bactrianus (Bactrian camel)
Lineage: Eukaryota; Metazoa; Chordata; Mammalia; Artiodactyla; Camelidae
Also listed under: 1 other name
Rfam family: tRNA
About the family: Transfer RNA (tRNA) molecules are approximately 80 nucleotides in length. Their secondary structure includes four short double-helical elements and three loops (D, anti-codon, and T loops). Further hydrogen bonds mediate the characteristic L-shaped molecular structure. tRNAs have two regions of fundamental functional importance: the anti-codon, which is responsible for specific mRNA codon recognition, and the 3' end, to which the tRNAs corresponding amino acid is attached (by aminoacyl-tRNA synthetases). tRNAs cope with the degeneracy of the genetic code in two manners: having more than one tRNA (with a specific anti-codon) for a particular amino acid; and 'wobble' base-pairing, i.e. permitting non-standard base-pairing at the 3rd anti-codon position.
Source: Rfam by way of RNAcentral